GAUGAACGCUGGCGGCGUGCCUAAUACAUGCAAGUCGAGCGAACGGACGAGAAGCUUGCUUUUCUGAUGUUAGCGGCGGACGGGUUAGUAACACGUGGAUAACCUACCUAUAAGACUGGGAUAACUUCGGGAAACCGGAGCUAAUACCGGAUAAUAUUUUGAACCGCAUGGUUCAAAAGUGAAAGACGGUCUUGCUGUCACUUAUAGAUGGAUCCGCGCUGCAUUAGCUAGUUGGUAAGGUAACGGCUUACCAAGGCAACGAUGCAUAGCCGACCUGAGAGGGUGAUCGGCCACACUGGAACUGAGACACGGUCCAGACUCCUACGGGAGGCAGCAGUAGGGAAUCUUCCGCAAUGGGCGAAAGCCUGACGGAGCAACGCCGCGUGAGUGAUGAAGGUCUUCGGAUCGUAAAACUCUGUUAUUAGGGAAGAACAUAUGUGUAAGUAACUGUGCACAUCUUGACGGUACCUAAUCAGAAAGCCACGGCUAACUACGUG
This 497-nucleotide ribosomal RNA is filed under the name uncultured bacterium. Its description in RNAcentral is "partial 16S ribosomal RNA". It matches the Rfam family "Bacterial small subunit ribosomal RNA", at positions 28 to 507 of the family's 1533-position model. The record is from RNAcentral.